RNAcentral lists this ribosomal RNA (119 nucleotides) under Pteropus alecto (black flying fox). The record is from RNAcentral. Lineage: Eukaryota; Metazoa; Chordata; Mammalia; Chiroptera; Pteropodidae.
GUCUACGGCCACGCCACCCUGAACAAGCCCGAUCCCGUCUGAUCUCGGAAGCUAAGCAGGGUCGGGCCUGGUUAGUACUUGGAUGGGAGACCACCUAGGAAGAUCAGGUGCUGUAGGCG